UUUGGAGAGAGAGUUAAAAGGACGCGAGCCCGUUUGCAAGGAAGCAGAUAGAGCUAAUGGCAGUGUAGGCAAUUCAAGCAGUCAGUUUUGCUGGCCCUGGCGGUUUUGGAUCUUUGUGGACCAUACCGUUAGGUGUUGCAGUGGACUGGCAGCUGCACUUUGCCCACACGUGCAUUGGGGCGUGUAACAUAGUGGUGCUGAGUGGGCAGCUGGUUGUGCCAAGGCAACUCGGUAACACACUACCCAAGUUAGUACCAUCUUUGUUACAUUGAAACAGCAUUGGCUGUGCGCAGACUGCAUUCCAGCCAGGUGGCCAUCAUCCAGUGUGCUUGCGCACAAGUGGUGUCUCAUUUGUGUUUGGAGUGUUGUUCUGCCAACUGGUGCAAUCCAGUGAAACUGUUGGUGUCCUAUCUGACCCGUCUUGAAACACGGACCAAGGAGUCUAACAUGUGCGCGAGUUGAAGGGUGGCAAACCCAUGAGCACAAUGAAAGUGAAGCUGGCCUCGUGUCAGUGAUAUGAGAUCUGUGGUUUCUACGGAAUUGCAGAGCAUCAUAGUCCCUUCCAUAUUGCAUGCCAAUAGGGAGGAGACAGAGCGUACACGUUGGGACCCGAAAGAUGGUGAACUAUGCAUGAGCAGGGCGAAGUCAGGGGAAACUCUGAUGGAGGCUCGAAACGGUUCUGACGUGCAAAUCGAUCGUCAGACUUGUGUAUAGGGGCGAAAGACUAAUCGAACUAUCUAGUAGCUGG
Molecule: ribosomal RNA, 748 nt
Filed under: Sphaerolaimus haurakiensis
Lineage: Eukaryota; Metazoa; Nematoda; Chromadorea; Monhysterida; Sphaerolaimidae
Description: eukaryotic LSU rRNA
Rfam family: Eukaryotic large subunit ribosomal RNA
Source: RNAcentral